This 68-nucleotide transfer RNA is filed under the name Strix aluco (Tawny owl). RNAcentral's name for it is "tRNA-Phe". It matches the Rfam family "tRNA". From Rfam's summary of the family: Transfer RNA (tRNA) molecules are approximately 80 nucleotides in length. The record is from RNAcentral. Lineage: Eukaryota; Metazoa; Chordata; Aves; Strigiformes; Strigidae.
GUCCCUGUAGCUUAUAAACAAAGCAUAGCACUGAAGAUGCUAAGACGGCUCCCACAUGCCCAAGGACA